This 483-nucleotide ribosomal RNA is filed under the name Dryopidae environmental sample. RNAcentral describes it as "SSU rRNA". It matches the Rfam family "Eukaryotic small subunit ribosomal RNA", at positions 270 to 756 of the family's 1831-position model. The record is from RNAcentral. Lineage: Eukaryota; Metazoa; Arthropoda; Insecta; Coleoptera; Dryopidae.
CUGAUCCCCGAUCUGGACCGGCGAACAUCUUGACAUGUGUGCCUUAUUAUGUGUCGAUGGAAGGUUCUGCACCUACCAUGGUUGUAACGGGAAACGGGGAAUCAGGGUUCGAUUCCGGAGAGGGAGCCUGAGAAACGGCUACCACAUCCAAGGAAGGCAGCAGGCGCGCAAAUUACCCACUCCCGGCACGGGGAGGUAGUGACGAAAAAUAACGAUACGGGACUCAUCCGAGGCCCCGUAAUCGGAAUGAGUACACUCUAAAUCCUUUAACGAGGAUCAAUUGGAGGGCAAGUCUGGUGCCAGCAGCCGCGGUAAUUCCAGCUCCAAUAGCGUAUAUUAAAGUUGUUGCGGUUAAAAAGCUCGUAGUCGAAUCUGUGUCCCGCGCCGCCGGUUCAUCGCUCGCGGUGUUUAACUGGCGUGUCGCGGGACGUCCUGCCGGUGGGCUUAGCCUCCGCAGGGGGCGGCCCAACUUCAAAUCCCACC